RNAcentral lists this ribosomal RNA (835 nucleotides) under Fusarium oxysporum. RNAcentral's name for it is "eukaryotic LSU rRNA". The stretch from base 149 to 302 matches the Rfam family "5.8S ribosomal RNA". Lineage: Eukaryota; Fungi; Ascomycota; Sordariomycetes; Hypocreales; Nectriaceae. The record is from RNAcentral.
GGGCUUCGACUACACUCCCAACCCCUGUGACAUACCACUUGUUGCCUCGGCGGAUCAGCCCGCUCCCGGUAAAACGGGACGGCCCGCCAGAGGACCCCUAAACUCUGUUUCUAUAUGUAACUUCUGAGUAAAACCAUAAAUAAAUCAAAACUUUCAACAACGGAUCUCUUGGUUCUGGCAUCGAUGAAGAACGCAGCAAAAUGCGAUAAGUAAUGUGAAUUGCAGAAUUCAGUGAAUCAUCGAAUCUUUGAACGCACAUUGCGCCCGCCAGUAUUCUGGCGGGCAUGCCUGUUCGAGCGUCAUUUCAACCCUCAAGCACAGCUUGGUGUUGGGACUCGCGUUAAUUCGCGUUCCCCAAAUUGAUUGGCGGUCACGUCGAGCUUCCAUAGCGUAGUAGUAAAACCCUCGUUACUGGUAAUCGUCGCGGCCACGCCGUUAAACCCCAACUUCUGAAUGUUGACCUCGGAUCAGGUAGGAAUACCCGCUGAACUUAAGCAUAUCAAUAAGCGGAGGAAGGGAUCAUUACCGAGUUUACAACUCAAACCCUGUGAACAUACACUUGUUGCUGGCGGAUCGCCGCUCCGGUAAAACGGGACGGCGCAGAGGACCUAAACUCUGUUUCUAUAUGUAACUUCUGAGUAAAACAUAAAUAAAUCAAAACUUUCACAAGGAUCUCUUGGUUCUGGCAUCAUGAAAAACGCACAAAAUGGAUAAGUAAUGUGAAAUUGCAGAAAUUCGUGAAAUCAUCAAAUCUUUGAAACGCACAUUGCGCGCGCUAUUCUGGCGGGCAGCUGUUCAGGCACAUUUACCACGAGGAUGGUGGGGACCGCUAAUA